Molecule: long non-coding RNA, 327 nt
Organism: Mustela erminea (ermine)
Lineage: Eukaryota; Metazoa; Chordata; Mammalia; Carnivora; Mustelidae
Exons: 3
Source: RefSeq, a predicted model, not a curated record
AUGAGAAAUGAUAGAUAUACAUGGUAGAUGAUAGAUAGAUAGGACAGAUGGUAGAUUGAUAGACAAAUAGGACACAUGGUAGUUAGGUGGUUAGAUAGGUAGGGCAGAUUGUAGAUGGAUAGAUAGAUAGGACAGGUAGUGGAUAGAUACGACAGGUAGUGAAUAGAUAGAUAGGACAGAUGGUUGAUUGAUGGACAGAUAGAUAGGACAGAUGGUAGAUUGAUAGACAAAUAGGACACAUGGUAGUUAGGUGGUUAGAUAGGUAGGGCAGAUUGUAGAUGGAUAGAUAGAUAGGACAGGUAGUGGAUAGAUAGAUAGGACAGAUGG